UAGCUACAGGCUUAACACAUGCAAGUCGAGGGGCAGCAUGGUCUUAGCUUGCUAAGGCCGAUGGCGACCGGCGCACGGGUGAGUAACACGUAUCCAACCUGCCGUCUACUCUUGGACAGCCUUCUGAAAGGAAGAUUAAUACAAGAUGGCAUCAUGAGUCCGCAUGUUCACAUGAUUAAAGGUAUUCCGGUAGACGAUGGGGAUGCGUUCCAUUAGAUAGUAGGCGGGGUAACGGCCCACCUAGUCUUCGAUGGAUAGGGGUUCUGAGAGGAAGGUCCCCCACAUUGGAACUGAGACGCGGUCCAAACUCCUACGGGAGGCAGCAGUGAGGAAUAUUGGUCAAUGGGCGAGAGCCUGAACCAGCCAAGUAGCGUGAAGGAUGACUGCCCUAUGGGUUGUAAACUUCUUUUAUAAAGGAAUAAAGUCGGGUAUGGAUACCCGUUUGCAUGUACUUUAUGAAUAAGGAUCGGCUAACUCCGUGCCAGCAGCCGCGGUAAUACGGAGGAUCCGAGCGUUAUCCGGAUUUAUUGGGUUUAAAGGGAGCGUAGAUGGAUGUUUAAGUCAGUUGUGAAAGUUUGCGGCUCAACCGUAAAAUUGCAGUUGAUACUGGAUAUCUUGAGUGCAGUUGAGGCAGGCGGAAUUCGUGGUGUAGCGGUGAAAUGCUUAGAUAUCACGAAGAACUCCGAUUGCGAAGGCAGCCUGCUAAGCUGCAACUGACAUUGAGGCUCGAAAGUGUGGGUAUCAAACAGGAUUAGAUACCCUGGUAGUCCACACGGUAAACGAUGAAUACUCGCUGUUUGCGAUAUACAGCAAGCGGCCAAGCGAAAGCGUUAAGUAUUCCACCUGGGGAGUACGCCGGCAACGGUGAAACUCAAAGGAAUUGACGGGGGCCCGCACAAGCGGAGGAACAUGUGGUUUAAUUCGAUGAUACGCGAGGAACCUUACCCGGGCUUAAAUUGCAGAUGAAUUACGGUGAAAGCCGUAAGCCGCAAGGCAUCUGUGAAGGUGCUGCAUGGUUGUCGUCAGCUCGUGCCGUGAGGUGUCGGCUUAAGUGCCAUAACGAGCGCAACCCUUGUUGUCAGUUACUAACAGGUUCCGCUGAGGACUCUGACAAGACUGCCAUCGUAAGAUGUGAGGAAGGUGGGGAUGACGUCAAAUCAGCACGGCCCUUACGUCCGGGGCUACACACGUGUUACAAUGGGGGGUACAGAGGGCCGCUACCACGCGAGUGGAUGCCAAUCCCCAAAACCUCUCUCAGUUCGGACUGGAGUCUGCAACCCGACUCCACGAAGCUGGAUUCGCUAGUAAUCGCGCAUCAGCCACGGCGCGGUGAAUACGUUCCCGGGCCUUGUACACACCGCCCGUCAAGCCAUGGGAGCCGGGGGUACCUGAAGUGCGUAACCGCGAGGAGCGCCCUAGGGUAAAACUGGUGACUGGGGCUAAGUCAUAAC
RNAcentral lists this ribosomal RNA (1451 nucleotides) under uncultured organism. RNAcentral's name for it is "SSU rRNA". It matches the Rfam family "Bacterial small subunit ribosomal RNA". The record is from RNAcentral.